This 351-nucleotide long non-coding RNA is filed under the name Pan troglodytes (chimpanzee). Its description in RNAcentral is "long non-coding RNA NONPTRT017951". Lineage: Eukaryota; Metazoa; Chordata; Mammalia; Primates; Hominidae. The record is from RNAcentral.
CGAGGGGCUGAAGGGUUUGCUGAGUAUCCCCAUUAAAAGCUUCAAGAUUUGGGGAACCUUAUUCACGCCAUUUAUCCACCUACCAGGUUGCACUGACUGAAAACAGAGCUUAAUCCCCCACCUCCCCCAUCCCAAGAGCUCCUGGUCUAAUGGAAGAGACAGAGGAGACAGGCGUUCAAUACACACAGGGUCAGUUUGGCAGCCCUCUCUGUGUUCAAGAGGAGCAGUGGAUGUUUGGCACAGGCCCUGGGCUGUAUCUGUCCAUCUUCAACAUGACAAGGUCAAACAUGGGCUGUACAAGUCAUCUCAUGUCACCCGCACAGACAGAAAAUGACAGAAAAACAUUUGCUG